GGUCUUAUAUUCUAUAUUAAUAUAAGAAAUAAAAUUGCAAAUUUUAAAAAAUAAGUUUAAUUAUUAAGACUU
Molecule: transfer RNA, 72 nt
Filed under: Hydropsyche saxonica
Lineage: Eukaryota; Metazoa; Arthropoda; Insecta; Trichoptera; Hydropsychidae
Description: tRNA-Cys
Source: RNAcentral